Molecule: unclassified non-coding RNA, 309 nt
Filed under: uncultured fungus
Lineage: Eukaryota; Fungi
Description: partial contains 5.8S rRNA and ITS2
Source: RNAcentral
AACGCAAGUUGCGCCCGAGGCCUUUUGGCCGAGGGCAUGCCUGCCUGGGCGUCACGCCAAACACGCUCCCACCCAACUAAACAUGGUGUGGGAUGCGGCAUGUGGCUCCCCGUCUCGCAAGGGGCGGUGGGCCGAAGAUCCGGCUGCCGGCGUAUCGUGCCGGACACAGCGCGUGGUAGGCGAUCUCGCUAUACUAAACGCAGUGCAUCCGGGGUGUAGCCGACGCAAUGCCCUCAUGGACCCUCACAACGGAGCGCACGACGCUUCUACCGCGACCCCAGGUCAGGCGGGACUACCCGCUGAAUUUAA